UCUCAAAUGAUUGUCGUCGUCUUCUUCACUGGUUUUCUUAUGUUUCCUAUCGGUAUCCCAUUCUGUUAUCCAUCCCC
This is a non-coding RNA of Caenorhabditis elegans, 77 nucleotides long. The record is from Ensembl. NCBI's taxonomy places the organism in Eukaryota, Metazoa, Nematoda, Chromadorea, Rhabditida, Rhabditidae.